RNAcentral lists this ribosomal RNA (274 nucleotides) under uncultured bacterium. RNAcentral's name for it is "partial 16S ribosomal RNA". It matches the Rfam family "Bacterial small subunit ribosomal RNA", at positions 523 to 796 of the family's 1533-position model. The record is from RNAcentral.
AUACGGAGGGUCCGAGCGUUAUCCGGAAUCAUUGGGUUUAAAGGGUCCGUAGGCGGGAAUCUAAAUCAGUGGUGAAAUCUUGCAGCUCAACUGUAAAAUUGCCAUUGAUACUGGAUUUCUUGAAUUAGUGUGAAGUGGUUAGAAUGUGUAGUGUAGCGGUGAAAUGCAUAGAUAUUACACAGAAUACCAAUUGCGAAGGCAGAUCACUAACACUAUAUUGACGCUGAGGGACGAAAGCGUGGGGAGCGAACAGGAUUAGAAACCCCAGUAGUCC